GGCUGAAUAGCUCAGUGGUAAGAGCAGUCGCCCGGAAAGCGAAAGACUCGAGUUCAACUCCCGAUUCAGCAA
This 72-nucleotide transfer RNA is filed under the name Camponotus floridanus (Florida carpenter ant). It matches the Rfam family "tRNA". Rfam says of the family: Transfer RNA (tRNA) molecules are approximately 80 nucleotides in length. Their secondary structure includes four short double-helical elements and three loops (D, anti-codon, and T loops). Further hydrogen bonds mediate the characteristic L-shaped molecular structure. tRNAs have two regions of fundamental functional importance: the anti-codon, which is responsible for specific mRNA codon recognition, and the 3' end, to which the tRNAs corresponding amino acid is attached (by aminoacyl-tRNA synthetases). tRNAs cope with the degeneracy of the genetic code in two manners: having more than one tRNA (with a specific anti-codon) for a particular amino acid; and 'wobble' base-pairing, i.e. permitting non-standard base-pairing at the 3rd anti-codon position. Lineage: Eukaryota; Metazoa; Arthropoda; Insecta; Hymenoptera; Formicidae. The record is from Rfam by way of RNAcentral.